UACGUAGGGUGCAAGCGUUAAUCGGAAUUACUGGGCGUAAAGCGUGCGCAGGCGGUUAUGUAAGACAGUUGUGAAAUCCCCGGGCUCAACCUGGGAACUGCAUCUGAGACUGCAUAGCUAGAGUACGGUAGAGGGGGAUGGAAUUCCGCGUGUAGCAGUGAAAUGCGUAGAUAUGCGGAGGAACACCGAUGGCGAAGGCAAUCCCCUGGACCUGUACUGACGCUCAUGCACGAAAGCGUGGGGAGCAAACAGG
RNAcentral lists this ribosomal RNA (253 nucleotides) under uncultured bacterium. Its description in RNAcentral is "partial 16S ribosomal RNA". It matches the Rfam family "Bacterial small subunit ribosomal RNA", at positions 524 to 776 of the family's 1533-position model. The record is from RNAcentral.